This 707-nucleotide ribosomal RNA is filed under the name Phytopythium megacarpum. RNAcentral's name for it is "eukaryotic LSU rRNA". It matches the Rfam family "Eukaryotic large subunit ribosomal RNA", at positions 81 to 628 of the family's 3401-position model. Lineage: Eukaryota; Oomycota; Peronosporomycetes; Pythiales; Pythiaceae. The record is from RNAcentral. RNAcentral also lists the same sequence under 1 other name.
UAGUAACGGCGAGUGAAGCGGGAAGAGCUCAAGCUUAAAAUCUCUGCGCAAGUUUUGCGCGGCGAAUUGUAGUCUAUAGACGCUAAAUCAGUGCGGCUAUUCGGGUUAAGUUCCUUGGAAGAGGACAGCAAUGAGGGUGAUACUCCCGUUUGUACCUGAGUAUGUUGCACGUACGAUUUGUGUUCUUUGAGUCGCGUUGUUUGGGAAUGCAGCGCAAAGUAGGUGGUAAAUUCCAUCUAAAGCUAAAUAUUGGUGCGAGACCGAUAGCGAACAAGUACCGUGAGGGAAAGAUGAAAAGAACUUUGAAAAGAGAGUUAAAGAGUACCUGAAACUGCUGAAAGGGAACCGGGUCGUUGCCAGUGUCUAUAAUCCUCGGCAUAUUUCAUUGCUGUGCGGGGCUGUGUCGCGCGUUGGUAGUAGUUUGUUCUGCGCUGCGUGUGUCGUUCGGCUUUGCUCGGCGGUGCCCUGUGUCGUGGUGGGACGUCAGAGUCAGUUCGUGUGCUGCGGGAAAUGGCUGUCGAGGAGGUAGGUCAGGAGCUUGCUUCUGGCUGUUAUAUCUUGGCGUGCUAGUUGUCGUGGUUGGGACUGAGGUGCCUACAACGUGCUUUUUGAGUGUUUGUGCGUCUCUGUGUGCGUCCGGAUUGGAUAGCUUGCUAUGCAGUUUGUCACGUGUGCGGAUGGAUGUGUAUUCUUACUUGUUGCCGUUC